GACUUCGUGGUGUAGUAGCUAGCACGCUCGACGCGUAACCGAGAGGUCCGUGGUUCGAUUCCCGGCUAAGACG
Molecule: transfer RNA, 73 nt
Filed under: Stegodyphus mimosarum
Lineage: Eukaryota; Metazoa; Arthropoda; Arachnida; Araneae; Eresidae
Rfam family: tRNA
About the family: Transfer RNA (tRNA) molecules are approximately 80 nucleotides in length. Their secondary structure includes four short double-helical elements and three loops (D, anti-codon, and T loops).
Source: Rfam by way of RNAcentral